RNAcentral lists this ribosomal RNA (683 nucleotides) under uncultured Alphaproteobacteria bacterium. Its description in RNAcentral is "bacterial SSU rRNA". It matches the Rfam family "Bacterial small subunit ribosomal RNA", at positions 155 to 876 of the family's 1533-position model. Lineage: Bacteria; Pseudomonadati; Pseudomonadota; Alphaproteobacteria. The record is from RNAcentral.
AACGAUGAUUAAUACCGUAUACGCCCCAAGGGGGAAAGAUUAUCGCUAAAGGAUCGGCCCGCGUUAGAUAGGUAGUUGGUAGGGUAAUGGCCUACCAAGCCGACGAUCUAUAGCUGGUUUGAGAGGAUGAUCAGCAACACUGGGACUGAGACACGGCCCAGACUUCUACGGAAGGCAGCAGUAGGGAAUCUUGGACAAUGGGCGAAAGCCUGAUCCAGCCAUGCCGCGUGAGUGAUGAAGGCCUUAGGGUCGUAAAGCUCUUUCGCCAGGGAUGAUAAUGACAGUACCUGGUAAAGAAACCCCGGCUAACUCCGUGCCAGCAGCCGCGGUAAUACGGAGGGGGUUAGCGUUGUUCGGAAUUACUGGGCGUAAAGCGCACGUAGGCGGAUUAGAAAGUUAGAGGUGAAAUCCCAGGGCUCAACCCUGGAACUGCCUUUAAAACUCCUAGUCUUGAGUUCGAGAGAGGUGAGUGGAAUUCCAAGUGUAGAGGUGAAAUUCGUAGAUAUUUGGAGGAACACCAGUGGCGAAGGCGGCUCACUGGCUCGAUACUGACGCUGAGGUGCGAAAGUGUGGGGAGCAAACAGGAUUAGAUACCCUGGUAGUCCACACCGUAAACGAUGAAUGCCAGUCGUCGGGUAGUAUACUAUUCGGUGACACACCUAACGGAUAAGCAUUCCGCUGGG